CCUACGGGUGGCAGCAGUGAGGAAUAUUGGUCAAUGGACGAGAGUCUGAACCAGCCAUGUAGCGUGAAGGAUGACUGCCCUAUGGGUUGUAAACUUCUUUUAUUUGGGAAUAAAAUGUUCCACGUGUGGGGUUUUGUAUCUACCUUAUUACUAAGGAUCGGCUAACUCCGUGCCUGCAGCCGCGGUAAUACGGAGGAUCCGAGCGUUAUCCGGAUUUGUUGGUGUUAAAGGGAGCGUAGAUGGGUUGUUAAGUCAGUUGUGAAUGUUUGCGGCUCAACCGUAAAAUUGCAAUUGAUCCUGGCAGUCUUGAGUACAGUUGAGGUAGGCGGAAUUCGUGGUGUAGCGGUGAAAUGCGUAGAUAUCAGGAAGAACACCGAUGGCGAAGGCAGCUUACUAAACUGCAACUGACACUGAUGCUCGAAAGUGUGGGGAUCAAACAGGAUUAGAUACCCUUGUAGUC
This 460-nucleotide ribosomal RNA is filed under the name uncultured bacterium. Its description in RNAcentral is "partial 16S ribosomal RNA". It matches the Rfam family "Bacterial small subunit ribosomal RNA", at positions 338 to 795 of the family's 1533-position model. The record is from RNAcentral.